GACGAACGCUGGCGGCGUGCUUAACACAUGCAAGUCGAACGGAAAGGCCCCGUUGUUGGGUAGUUGACUGGCGCAGGGGAGAGGAACAAGACAUUAGUAUACCCUUGCUGUUGGGCUGAUAUCAGGAAGCUAGGGCGGAUAUUACAGAGGAGCAGCUGCUGCAUGGUGGUGGUGGGUAGGUAGCUUCGGUUGUGGGGGAUGUACUCGCUGGUUAGCAGCUUGGUGGUGGGGUAGUGGCUCACCAAGGUUUUGACGGGUAGGCGGCCUGAGAGGGUGACCGGCCACAUUGGGACUGAGAUACGGCCCAGACUCCUACGGGAGGCAGCAGUGGGGAAUAUUGCACAAUGGGCGGAAGCCUGAUGCAGCAACGCCGCGUGCGGGAUGACGGCCUUCGGGUUGUAAACCGCUUUCGCCUGUGACGAAGCGUGAGUGACGGUAAUGGGUAAAGAAGCACCGGCUAACUACGUG
RNAcentral lists this ribosomal RNA (468 nucleotides) under uncultured bacterium. RNAcentral's name for it is "partial 16S ribosomal RNA". It matches the Rfam family "Bacterial small subunit ribosomal RNA", at positions 28 to 507 of the family's 1533-position model. The record is from RNAcentral.